RNAcentral lists this ribosomal RNA (87 nucleotides) under Leeuwenhoekiella sp. The record is from RNAcentral. Lineage: Bacteria; Pseudomonadati; Bacteroidota; Flavobacteriia; Flavobacteriales; Flavobacteriaceae.
CUCACCUCUUACCAUUCCGAACAGAGUAGUUAAGCCCGUUAGCGCCGAUGGUACUACAUCUCGUGGGAGAGUAGGUCGCCGCCUUGU